Molecule: non-coding RNA, 92 nt
Organism: Acanthosepion pharaonis
Lineage: Eukaryota; Metazoa; Mollusca; Cephalopoda; Sepiida; Sepiidae
Source: the annotation of a GenBank genome assembly
GAUCAGUUCUCAUAUGAUCAUUGAAGUUAAGCUAUCUUCAGCCUAGUCAGCACCUUGAUGGGUGACCACUUGGGAAUACCAAGUGCUGUAAG